Long non-coding RNA from Capsicum annuum, 641 nucleotides. RefSeq lists it as uncharacterized. The transcript is spliced from 2 exons. The record is from RefSeq and is a predicted model, not a curated record. NCBI's taxonomy places the organism in Eukaryota, Viridiplantae, Streptophyta, Magnoliopsida, Solanales, Solanaceae.
CGCAACUUUCAGUGACUUGUUGAUAUUGUUGACUUUUGGCAUAUCCUUUCUUUGAGUUCAUCUUAACAACUUUUAUCUUUAAAUGAUAGAGGGAAAAUCCCCCCUAGUAUGAUAUAAAUACACACAUAUAUAUACAUAUAUAUAUACGCAUAUUUAUAUAUAUAUAUAUAUAUAUAUAUAUAUAUAUAUACACGCAUAUAUAUAUAUAUAUGCAUAUCAAUUAAGUAAGCUUAGGUGGGAGAAAAUAUUUUGACGUUAUUAUUGAUCACCGAAAGAAAAUUAAUUAUCUGCAUCAAGUUAUUCAAGAUCGAGUUCUAGUGGCACUAUCCAGAGGCUUCUUGGAGAAAUAUUUUAGCUUUGGCGUAUAGAUUUGAGUACUAGCGACCGACAUUAACGUGAUUUCUACUUUCCAGUACUGAUCUGGUGCACGGUGAGCUUGCUGUGAUCCGAGGCUGAUCCUCUUCUAUCAGUUUCAGUUUAGUCUUUUGUACUCGAGACUGCUUGUAUAGGUUGUGCAUGUUUUGAGUUCUUUCUAUUACUCUGGGUAUAUUUUAGUAGUGACUUUAGUACCGACCUUACUAGGUCUUGGGAGGGAUUUAGUUGUAUAUUUUUGGUCCUUUUCCUUCUCUCAUUUUGAUAUA